Papaver somniferum (opium poppy) is the source of this 1590-nucleotide long non-coding RNA. RefSeq lists it as uncharacterized. The transcript is spliced from 3 exons. The record is from RefSeq and is a predicted model, not a curated record. NCBI's taxonomy places the organism in Eukaryota, Viridiplantae, Streptophyta, Magnoliopsida, Ranunculales, Papaveraceae.
UCAACAUUUUUAUUUCUCUGUCUUCAUUCUCUUCUGCUUUUCUUUUCUUUCUCUCGUUCCUCUGUUCGAUCUCUGUGGAAGUUAAGGUGUUGAUUUCGGGAGUGAUUUAGAGAGAGUUGAUUCAUGAAACUAAUCUUAUAUUGAAGGAGGUGAUGUGGUUGUGAUUCAGGAAGGAUAAAGGUUAGAUAUUGUUAGGGUUUUCUGAAGGAUGAAGUUGAUGGAGAUUUCGUGAAAUUGAUUAGCGUAUUGGGUUCCUGAUUGAUGAAGAUUGAAUGGGUUGACGUUUAAUUGUAGUUUUGAAGAUGAGUCAGUGACGAAUCAAGAGUUAUGGUUUUAUAAGAAGUUCAAAGAAGAGCCAGAAGAUGAAGUUGUUGGUUAGGGGAUUGAAUUAGAAGAUGGGUUUGCUUAGUUUGAAGAUUGAAUUGAUGUUGCGUGGUUGUUUCGAUGAAGAAUCAGCGAAUUAAAGAAUUGGGUGGAUUCUGAAUUGAGAUGAGGUGUUGAAUCAGAUCAAGCCAAAUAAGAGGUUAAUUCAAUUGCUUCAUAACUUGGUCUUGAGGUAAUUGUUCAGUAAACCUAGCAAAGUUAUUUGGUUCAUAUAUUGAAGUUGUGUGGUAUUUAAUGUAUUUAUAGUUAAGUUAGAUAAAUGGAGUAUUUGCUGGAGAUGAAACUGUUUAGAUGUUGAUGUUGUUUUGAAUUGAAAUUGAAUGUAACUUAAUUGGUAGAUGUCUCAGUUGGGUUACAGAAAUACUUGAGUUGGAUUAUUAGAGGAACUGAGCAAGAAUGAUUCCAUAGGAAUUAUAUGCUAAGUCAGUGGUGUUGAUGAUUUGAGAUGCUGGAUGUAUAAUUGAUGAGAUUUCAGUAGUGAAUGAUUGUUGUAGAAUGUUGGUGAACAUUGUAGGUGCUGGUGAUGUCGAACUGUGUAUACCAAUUGCAGGUGUUGGUGUUAGUUUGUGAGAUGAUGAAGUUGGAAUUAUAACUGGUGUUGCUUGAUAUGAAUUGUUACAUGUGUUGUAGAGUUUUGGUGUUGCAUAAGGACCUAUAAUUGGAGAUGGUAUAGAACAGUGUUUGUAAUAUGAAGUUGUGGUUAGUGUAGAGCUGAGACUGAGUUGGAUUGUGCUGGUACUGAAAUACAUGGAGUGAAGUUGAGAAGUGUUAACUGAACUUGAAGGUGGUAAUGUAAUGGUUGUGGUCUGCUGGUUUGCUUGUUUUGAGAAUGGUCUGCGAUUGGGAAUGAGGGUUAGAUGCAGUUGUUGAGUGGAUCCUAGGUGAAAGCUUGUUGCUGCAAUGGCAGUUAGUUUAUUAACAAUGAUCGAUUCAAAGGAUGAACCAGUGGAUCGCAGAUCUCGAAGUAGGCGUGGCUUGUCAUCAAAAGAGAGACAGAUCAGAGUUGCGCAGCGGAAGCCACAAGUGUUGACUCCGUUAAUUAGUUACCUUCUGCUAUGUUUAUUAUGUUGUCUAUUGUAUCUGCAAACCAAUUGACUAUUCUAUAUGUAUCAUUUGAGAGAAAUUCAUGUAUAUAUAUUCUGAGCGAGGUUGGUUUUGGGAUAAGUUUUGUAGCAGAUUUCUUAAUUGAAUGUUUAAAUAUUUGAA